ACUGACUGCAUCUCAUAAUCAGGAGUGGAUUGGAAGCAAGAAACAUUUUAAUCUAAAGUGCAGUGCUGCAGGACACCAGCCUUGACACACUUCUCCCUUUCCUUGCUGUCCUUCACAUUGUGAAUAAGUGAACCUUCAGCCCUGCAAGCCUUGUACGCAAUUCAAAGUGCAAGAGCCAAUGCACUUGCCAUCAGAAGGACAGAGCAGGACACCUUGCGUUCUGAGGAUGUGAAGGCAAUUGAAGAAAUGGCCUUCUGCAGGCUGUCAGUGACAGAUACCAGCUCACUCACAUCGAUAAAGCUCAAUUAGCUGCCGGAGAAGGCAUCUUUUAAAAAUGUAAUGAGCUGCACCAUGGAAG
This 358-nucleotide long non-coding RNA is filed under the name Gallus gallus (chicken). RNAcentral describes it as "long non-coding RNA NONGGAT012068". The record is from RNAcentral. Lineage: Eukaryota; Metazoa; Chordata; Aves; Galliformes; Phasianidae.